UUAGACCUCAAAUCAGUCAGGCCUACCCGCUGA
RNAcentral lists this ribosomal RNA (33 nucleotides) under Symmetrospora gracilis. RNAcentral's name for it is "partial 26S rRNA". The record is from RNAcentral. Lineage: Eukaryota; Fungi; Basidiomycota; Cystobasidiomycetes; Symmetrosporaceae.